This 433-nucleotide ribosomal RNA is filed under the name uncultured bacterium. Its description in RNAcentral is "partial 16S ribosomal RNA". It matches the Rfam family "Bacterial small subunit ribosomal RNA", at positions 29 to 507 of the family's 1533-position model. The record is from RNAcentral.
AACGAACGCUGGCGGCAUGCCUAACACAUGCAAGUCGAACGAGACCUUCGGGUCUAGUGGCGCACGGGUGCGUAACGCGUGGGAACCUGCCCGUAGGUUCGGAAUAACUCCCCGAAAGGGGUGCUAAUACCGGAGAAUGUCUUCGGACCAAAGAUUUAUCGCCUUUGGCUGGGCCCGCGUUGGAUUAGCUAGUUGGUAGGGUAAAAGCCUACCAAGGCGACGAUCCAUAGCUGGUCUGAGAGGAUGAUCAGCCACACUGGGACUGAGACACGGCCCAGACUCGUACGGGAGGCAGGAGUGGGGAAUAUUGGACAAUGGGCGAAAGCCUGAUCCAGCAAUGCCGCGUGAGUGAUGAAGGCCUUAGGGUUGUAAAGCUCUUUUACCCGGGAUGAUAAUGACAGUACCGGGAGAAUAAGCUCCGGCUAACUCCGUG